AAAUCCAUUGACUCCCUGUGGGACUCUCUGCUUCUCCCAAGUGAAUGGAUUCUCAAAUUUGGAACACAGGUGGCCUUCAGGUUGGAUGGACAUAGCCCGCCUCUCUGAUUAAUUCGGUGGAUGCCGCGCUCCAAGGAGGGCCGGGAGUCGGAAAUCCCCCCCUCCCCACCACCUACUUCCUGCCUGGGGAAAACCGCAGGGAGAGGGGAGUGAAGGGGAGGCAGCUCCUAACAGCGAUGGGGGCCUUGCCUGGAAGGGUGUGAAGUGAGGAGCUUGUUUUUAUCACAUGUAUCCUCUUACUACAUGGGAAAUCUCUCUCUCUGCUAAUUGCUGUCAUCAUCCAUCAAGAUCACCAACAGAGCAGCAUUCCAGCCAGAGAGGCCUUGGGGCCCAGGUGAGCUCCAGGACCAGGAAGCCAGGGGCCCAUAUGGGGCUGCACCUGCUGGGCAUCUCCAUCAGGAGGCGCCAAGGAGGCACACGCAGUCGGAGUCCGGACCAGCCUCUCAGGCUCUGUACCUUGGAGUCAUUGGCCCUGGGACUACCAAGCCACCUACCUUGGGGACCUGGGGGUGACGGAGCUAUGUGGUGCAGGAUGCCUUCAACAUUUUAAUCAGACCAGCCCCCCUUUAUCUCUUUUACACCUCAAAUCAGAUUUUGUCAAAGAAGUCCUACUAAUUUGAAAAGAAAGAUUUGAAAACCACAGAUCUAGUCCAACUAUUAGCUUUAACAGGUGAACUGACACAGUCUGGAGGCCAGGCGAGGAGUGUGCUACAGGUCAAAGAGAAAGUCAGGUUCAGACCUGGGACACGAGCCCAGGUCUCUUGAUUGCAAAGACAGCAUUUCUGGGUUUUUAUUUGUUUUUAAUUCUCUACUUUCCACCUCCAUCUGUUUUAUACAUUAAUGAAUGUGCAAGAACCCGCCCUGAGUGUCUACCUUGGAGGCUGUAAGAGAGAAAGAGUAGGGGGAUUGAGCAUCCAGAGGGCAGGGAAGGUCACACAUGCUGGCACUGGUUGGGAACUUCACAGACUUACUCUUAUUCAUGGAUUUAUUUUAUUAUUGGAGCAUGAUUGCUUUACAAAAUUGUGUUAGUUUCUGCUGUACAAAGAAGUGAAUCAGUAGUAUGCAUAUAUACAUUCUCCUCCCUCUUGGACUUUCCUCCCCCCAUCCCACCCCUCUAGGUCAUCACAGAGCACCGAGCUGAGCUCCCUGUGUUACGACAGCUUCCCACCAGCUCUCUGUUUUACACAUGGUAAUGUAUGUAUGUCAGUGCUAUUCUCUUAAUUCAUCCCACCCUCUCCUUUUCAUUCCUUUGUAUGUAGGUCCACACAGAAGUCUACAGUGCCAUAAAUGCAUUCAAGACAUGGACAUUGCUAGGAUGAUAAUGCAAAGAUGCGGUAUAUUAUAUAUAAAAAAAGAUACGUUAUAUUCAUAGUUACCCAGAUGUGAAAAACAGUUUUUGUAUAAGCAAGUACAUCUCUCGCCAAAGAAUACUCAAGACACCUUUUACUUGAUAAAUGUGUAUUUUGUGAAGUUUUUCAGAGUCAGCGUAUUAGAACUAGAUGGAUCCUAUCUAAGCCUUAUCUUAAAGAUGGAGAACCUAAGCUAUGCUGCUAAUAAAGAUCAAUGCCGGAACA
Molecule: long non-coding RNA, 1634 nt
Organism: Bos mutus (wild yak)
Lineage: Eukaryota; Metazoa; Chordata; Mammalia; Artiodactyla; Bovidae
Source: Ensembl